RNAcentral lists this ribosomal RNA (391 nucleotides) under uncultured bacterium. RNAcentral's name for it is "bacterial SSU rRNA". It matches the Rfam family "Bacterial small subunit ribosomal RNA", at positions 29 to 416 of the family's 1533-position model. The record is from RNAcentral.
AGCGAACGUUUGCGGCGGGCUUAACACAUGCAAGUCGAACGGGCUGUUCCUUCGGGGGCAGUCAGUGGCACACGGGUGCGUAACACGUAGGUAAUCAACCCUCUGGUUGGGGAUAACACUUCGAAAGGAGUGCUAAUACCCGGUAUGGCGCAGCGGUCUUCGGAUCGCGGCGAGAAAGACCCGCAAGGGUUGCCAGAGGACGAGCCUGCGGCCCAUCAGCUAGUUGGCGAGGUAACGGCUCACCAAGGCGAAGACGGGUAGCUGGUCUGAGAGGAUGAUCAGCCACACUGGAACUGAGACACGGUCCAUACUCCUACGGGAGGCAGCAGUGGGGAAUAUUGCGCAAUGGGCGAAAGCCUGACGCAGCCACGCCGCGUGAGCGAUGAAGGCC